RNAcentral lists this ribosomal RNA (253 nucleotides) under uncultured bacterium. RNAcentral's name for it is "partial 16S ribosomal RNA". It matches the Rfam family "Bacterial small subunit ribosomal RNA", at positions 524 to 776 of the family's 1533-position model. The record is from RNAcentral.
UACGGAGGUGGCAAGCGUUGCUCGGAAUCACUGGGCGUAAAGGGCGCGUAGGCGGCCAUUCAAGUCGGAGGUGAAAGCCCAGGGCUCAACCCUGGAAUUGCCUUCGAUACUGUUUGGCUAGAGACCGGAAGAGGUAAGUGGAACUGCGAGUGUAGAGGUGAAAUUCGUAGAUAUUCGCAAGAACACCAGUGGCGAAGGCGGCUUACUGGUCCGGUUCUGACGCUGAGGCGCGAAAGCGUGGGGAGCGAUCCGG